Non-coding RNA from Pelobates cultripes (western spadefoot toad), 232 nucleotides. NCBI's taxonomy places the organism in Eukaryota, Metazoa, Chordata, Amphibia, Anura, Pelobatidae. The record is from the annotation of a GenBank genome assembly.
UUGAAACAUUCACGGUGUCAUCCGAAGGUGGUGGGUUUAAGAGAAAAUGUCUUUUAAUAGUUAGUGAACGAAUAAAUUUCUUUAAAUCUAUAAAGAGGUUAAAAUCAUUACAGGUUUUACUAGGAGCAAACUUCAUUCCUUUAGACAAUAAAUUAAUCUCAUCAUCUGUCAGGGGGGUAUUGGUUAAAUUAAAAAUACCUCUAUCUAUUUCCCUUUGUACCAAAGGAUAGAC